This 345-nucleotide ribosomal RNA is filed under the name uncultured Leptolinea sp. Its description in RNAcentral is "bacterial SSU rRNA". It matches the Rfam family "Bacterial small subunit ribosomal RNA", at positions 1027 to 1382 of the family's 1533-position model. The record is from RNAcentral. Lineage: Bacteria; Bacillati; Chloroflexota; Anaerolineae; Anaerolineales; Anaerolineaceae.
AUCGGUGACAGGUGCUGCAUGGCUGUCGUCAGCUCGUGUCGUGAGAUGUCGGUUAAGUCCGCUAACCGAGCGCAACCCUCACUGUGUAUUAUAUGUGUCACACGGGGACCGCCGGGUCUUAAAGCCGGAGGAAGGUGGGGAUGACGUCAAGUCAGCAUGGCCUUUAUAUCCUGGGCUACACACACGCUACAAUGGCCAACACAAUAGGUUGCUAAGCCGCGAGGUGGAGCCAAUCCAAUAAAGUUGGUCUCAGUUCAGAUUGUAGGCUGCAACCCGCCUGCAUGAAGAUGGAGUUGCUAGUAACCGCAGGUCAGCUAUACUGCGGUGAAUACGUUCCCGGGGCUU